AGAAAUUAACUGAAAGAGUGACUAAAUUCCAAGGUAUUUCUUCAUGGAGAUGAAAACUUAAAAUUUUUGUUGUAACCUGUGUGACUCCUGCUUCACCAAAUUUGUUGAUAACGCCUGUCACAGGCAGUUGCCACUGUUCUGAAUUUGGUGAACUACUGGGAAUCUUCUGACAUCUUCAACUGCUUUGUGAAGUCUACUACAAUAUACUGCAAGUAAAAUGAUUUCCUAGUCUUCUGAAGAGAAUGACUCUUCUCUGCGUUUGUGACAUACGUGCAUCAUCAUGCUUUCCAGUUUCAGACAUAAUGGACACAAUGAUCACAAAUUUACCCAGUGACCACUGCAUGCUAUCCUGGCUGCCAGGGAGGAUGAAGAUCUACACAGCCCAUGAUUCUUACCCUGGGGGAGCUUGGACAAACUUUGAACAUGAAACCAUCAUGACAAUACAAAGGUUUCAAGUUCUGUCCCACAAUUUUCCAGUGAUUCUACAAGGAGCAAAGUCCAUAAGCAAAAGGUUUGAGCUAAAAACAUAACCAUCAGCAAAUAUUUAAGAUGUUUUUAUUUUGUGUUGUUUUUUAUUAUUUUCCUGCCUGGUAUGCUAGGGAGAAAAAAAAACUUGAAAAAUUCUGUAUCUUCAAGUUAUUAAGAAGAUAUUUGUGAUUUUCAUUCUCAGUGUAUUAUUUAGCCAGGUAUAUCCCUAUUUUCUUUCUUUUAUUUUGCAAUGUUCACUAUGAUGUUAGUAUGGAAAAUAAAAUGUGACUCAUAUUGGUUAUAAAGAUAGAUUACAUGUGUACAAAGAAUUCUGACCUCAAAUUAGGAAGUUGAAAAUUUCCUAAAAUCUGCUCUAGCAAACAUUACUGGAAACAUUUGUAUGAUUUUUUUUAAACCUCUCAAAAACAUGAUUAAUUUAUGUAUAUUAGUAGAAAAUAAGAAAAAAAUGGAUUUUGUCCAAACCACCUAUAAGA
Molecule: long non-coding RNA, 962 nt
Organism: Panthera uncia (snow leopard)
Lineage: Eukaryota; Metazoa; Chordata; Mammalia; Carnivora; Felidae
Exons: 5
Source: RefSeq, a predicted model, not a curated record